Oncorhynchus keta (chum salmon) is the source of this 339-nucleotide long non-coding RNA. RefSeq lists it as uncharacterized. The record is from RefSeq and is a predicted model, not a curated record. NCBI's taxonomy places the organism in Eukaryota, Metazoa, Chordata, Actinopteri, Salmoniformes, Salmonidae. The transcript has 3 exons.
ACAGGUUAGUUGGUGUCUGUUUGGAGAGGAGAGAUACAGGUUAGUUGGUGUCUGUGUGGAGAGGAGAGAUACAGGUUAGUUGGUGUCUGUGUAGAGAGGAGAGAUACAGGUUAGUUGGUGUCUGUUUGGAGAGGAGAGAUACAGGUUAGUUGGUGUCUGUGUAGAGAGGAGAGAUACAGGUUAGUUGGUGUCUGUGUAGAGAGGAGAGAUACAGGUUAGUUGGUGUCUGUGUAGAGAGGAGAGAUACAGGUUAGUUGGUGUCUGUUUGGAGAGGAGAGAUACAGGUUAGUUGGUGUCUGUGUGGAGAGGAGAGAUACAGGUUAGCUGGUGCCUGUUUGG